Molecule: ribosomal RNA, 190 nt
Filed under: uncultured Staphylococcus sp.
Lineage: Bacteria; Bacillati; Bacillota; Bacilli; Caryophanales; Staphylococcaceae
Description: partial 16S ribosomal RNA
Rfam family: Bacterial small subunit ribosomal RNA
Source: RNAcentral
GUAAACCGGGAAGCUAAUACCUGAUAAUAUUUUAAACCGCAUGGUUCAAAAGUGAAAGACGGUCUUGCUGUCACUUAUAGAUGGAUCCGCGCUGCAUUAGCUAGUUGGUAAGGUAACGGCUUACCAAGGCAACGAUGCAUAGCCGACCUGAGAGGGUGAUCGGCCACACUGGAACUGAGACACGGUCCAG